This 490-nucleotide ribosomal RNA is filed under the name uncultured bacterium. Its description in RNAcentral is "partial 16S ribosomal RNA". It matches the Rfam family "Bacterial small subunit ribosomal RNA", at positions 30 to 507 of the family's 1533-position model. The record is from RNAcentral.
AUUGAACGCUGGCGGCAGGCCUAACACAUGCAAGUCGAACGGUAACAGGAAGCAGCUUGCUGCUUUGCUGACGAGUGGCGGCCGGGUGAGUAAUGUCUGGGAAACUGCCCGAUGGAGGGGGAUAACUACUGGAAACGGUAGCUAAUACCGCAUAACGUCGCAAGACCAAAGAGGGGGACCUUAGGGCCUCUUGCCAUCGGAUGUGCCCAGAUGGGAUUAGCUAGUAGGUGGGGUAACGGCUCACCUAGGCGACGAUCCCUAGCUGGUCUGAGAGGAUGACCAGCCACACUGGAACUGAGACACGGUCCAGACUCCUACGGGAGGCAGCAGUGGGGAAUAUUGCACAAUGGGCGCAAGCCUGAUGCAGCCAUGCCGCGUGUAUGAAGAAGGCCUUCGGGUUGUAAAGUACUUUCAGCGGGGAGGAAGGGAGUAAAGUUAAUACCUUUGCUCAUCGACGUUACCCGCAGAAGAAGCACCGGCUAACUCCGUG